This 547-nucleotide ribosomal RNA is filed under the name uncultured Verrucomicrobiota bacterium. RNAcentral describes it as "bacterial SSU rRNA". It matches the Rfam family "Bacterial small subunit ribosomal RNA", at positions 8 to 522 of the family's 1533-position model. Lineage: Bacteria; Pseudomonadati; Verrucomicrobiota. The record is from RNAcentral.
AGAGUUUGAUCCUGGCUCAGAACGAACGCUGGCGGCGUGGAUAAGACAUGCAAGUCGAGCGAUCGUUAACGGGUAGCAAUAUUCGUUAGCGGGAGCGGCGCAAGGGUGCGUAACACGUGGGUAAUCUGCCGUGAAGUUUGGGAUAAUCCCGCGAAAGCGGGACUAAUACCGGAUGUGACCAUUGGGAGGCAUCUCUUGAUGGUUAAAGUUGGGGACCGCAAGGCCUGACGCUUCAUGAUGAACCCGCGGCCUAUCAGCUAGUUGGUGAGGUAACGGCUCACCAAGGCUAAGACGGGUAGCUGGUCUGAGAGGACGACCAGCCACACUGGAACUGAGACACGGUCCAGACACCUACGGGUGGCAGCAGUCGAGAAUUUUUCACAAUGGGCGCAAGCCUGAUGGAGCGACGCCGCGUGGGGGAUGAAUGGCUUCGGCCCGUAAACCCCUGGCCAUUCGCGAUCAAACCUUAUUAUUUAAAAAGAUGAUAAGCCGGAUAGCAGCCGAAGAGGAAGGGACGGGCUAACUUCUGGUGCCAGCAGCCGCGGUA